GGGGGCCCCUGUUAAUGGGUGGCAGGUCGGUGCGGGCCAGGACGCUGAGCAGGGCCACUGUCGCCCAAUGCAGGUUCCGAGCUGUGGCCCACGCAGAGCCACCACUGUCACACUUGCUCCACCUCCCUGCCACCCGCGCAAUGGAAAGUGUGAAACGCUCAGUCCUGCAAACUUGACCCAGAAGCAUGCGCGCGAGAGGCUGCGAUCAAGAAAUCUGAACCUGAAAAUGCGUGUUACCACUUCUGGUUACGUGUAUCUUUCUGUAUCUACUUACAGUCCUUAGAAGGAAGAAAUUGGUUUGAGGAUGCAUCUCACAGGAGUUACAGUCAGAGGAAAUGGCCCCACUCCGAUCUAGGCUCGGAAAAGAAAUAGGAGAAUACCUGAGACUUUGGUACUAUUUUUGUACACCCUGCCCAGCAUAAUAAUAAAAAGUUUGUUAACCU
Molecule: long non-coding RNA, 443 nt
Filed under: Suricata suricatta (meerkat)
Lineage: Eukaryota; Metazoa; Chordata; Mammalia; Carnivora; Herpestidae
Description: lncRNA (ENSSSUG00005000623.1)
Source: RNAcentral